GGGUCAGUAGGUUGGUCGUGCCACCGGUACGUACUGGUCCCACUGAUUCCUCCUUCCUGAAGAACCGUAAUGCCGUUAAUUUGGUGUUGCGGGGAAACAGGACUGUUACUUUGAAAAAAUUAGAGUGUUUAAAGCAAGCUAACGCUUGAAUACAUUAGCAUGGAAUAAUGAAAUAGGACGAUCGAUCCUAUUUUGUUGGUUUCUAGGAUUGACGUA
RNAcentral lists this ribosomal RNA (216 nucleotides) under Glomeromycotina sp. Its description in RNAcentral is "partial small subunit ribosomal RNA". The stretch from base 44 to 216 matches the Rfam family "Eukaryotic small subunit ribosomal RNA", at positions 690 to 864 of the family's 1831-position model. The record is from RNAcentral. Lineage: Eukaryota; Fungi; Glomeromycota.